CUCGGCGUUUGAUCCUGGCUCAGAUUGAACGCUGGCGGAAUGCUUUACACAUGCAAGUCGAACGGUAGAGGGGGCAACCCCUCGAGAGUGGCGAACGGGUGAGUAAUAUAUCGGAACGUGCCCAGUCGUGGGGGAUAACGUAGCGAAAGUUACGCUAAUACCGCAUACGAUCUACGGAUGAAAGCGGGGGACUCGCAAGAGCCUCGCGCGAUUGGAGCGGCCGAUAUCAGAUUAGGUAGUUGGUGAGGUAAAGGCUCACCAAGCCAACGAUCUGUAGCUGGUCUGAGAGGACGACCAGCCACACUGGAACUGAGACACGGUCCAGACUCCUACGGGGAGGCAGCAGUGGGGAAUUUUGGACAAUGGACGCAAGUCUGAUCCCAGCCCAUUCCGCGUGCAGGACGAAGGCCUUCGGUUGUAAACUGCUUUUAUACAGGAAGAAACGACUCUUGCGAGAGGCAUUGACGGUACUGUAUGAAUAAGCACGGCUAACU
This 494-nucleotide ribosomal RNA is filed under the name uncultured Comamonadaceae bacterium. RNAcentral's name for it is "bacterial SSU rRNA". It matches the Rfam family "Bacterial small subunit ribosomal RNA", at positions 1 to 502 of the family's 1533-position model. Lineage: Bacteria; Pseudomonadati; Pseudomonadota; Betaproteobacteria; Burkholderiales; Comamonadaceae. The record is from RNAcentral.